Hipposideros armiger (great roundleaf bat) is the source of this 1089-nucleotide long non-coding RNA. RefSeq lists it as uncharacterized. NCBI's taxonomy places the organism in Eukaryota, Metazoa, Chordata, Mammalia, Chiroptera, Hipposideridae. The record is from RefSeq and is a predicted model, not a curated record. The transcript is spliced from 3 exons.
CCACAGUGUUCCAAAUCACACAGAGGCUUGGAGGUCUACAGGCCACAUCAGCCUGAACUACUUUCAUAUGUUCCUUCGGUGAAGAUUGAACUACUUUUCCUGCUCCUCUCACCUGAAACUUUCAUGUCAAGAUUUCAAAGCAUUCCCUCCAACAUGCUCCAUACCACUUGGCACAGCACCUUUAAAAAAAAAAGCACAUCUUGUUCCUUUGCUAGAUUGUGAGCUCUUACAGGGAACAAAACAGUGUCACGUGUGUCUUUAUAUUUCUUGUGUCCAGUAAACGCUGGUACGUAGUAACAGGUUUAUAAAUACUAGUGAAAACUGAAGGAAUGAAUGUACCUUAAGAACACACCUAGGACUGGAGGCAUCCAGUAGAUUCAACAUGUCCUUAGAGGGCCUUGUUGUUCUUCUGAGUAUUGUUCUGUACCUGGCACAGCAGUGGGCACAGUGAUACAGGCUGAUUUGCAUUUGACCGACACUUUGUGGAAUCUGUGAGCAAACGUGGAGUCCAACAUGUGGUGCCCUUCCGGAUCCCAGAAAGCAGGAAAAGGGAGCUACUCUCUGAAAAUUAAACUAAGAAAUGAACACCUAACGGAUGAAAGCCAAGAGAGGCGAUGUGAUCUUAAGAGACAUGAUGACUCCUUGGGCAGUAAGAUUUGACCAUCACCUCACUGAGGGUAUCGACACCUUAAAAACACAUAAAUAUAAAUUCUACCUUAGAGGAGGAUUUCCUCCGUCUCCAAAACAGAGCAAAAGGAAAGCUGUUAAUGUAAUUGUCGUGAGAUCUCGCGGAGCACUGCCUGACCGUAGGACCUGCCCGGUCGCGGCCGGCAUCCCAGCUGCCCUGGCAGGCGGACAGCCCCGUUGCAGGGAGCUGCUGAGCCAGCCCCAUGCUGUUUUGCACCGGAAUCCUGUGCCAUGCACUCCACUUGCCCCGCUCCCGUGCUCACCACCAUGCUUCCCUCUGGUAAUCGGCCUUCCCCAAGAGGGAAUUCACUGUCAGGCUGAUACAGACUGAUGACGUUCAGUGUGCCCGAUUCUUCUGUUGUUCACUGUAAAUAAUAAAGUUGCUUUCUUGUUUUGUUUUUU